AUUGAACGCUGGCGGCAGGCCUAACACAUGCAAGUCGAACGAGUGGCGGACGGGUGAGUAAUGUCUGGGGAUCUGCCCGAUGGAGGGGGAUAACUACUGGAACCGGUAGCUAAUACCGCAUACCAUCAGAUGUACCCAGAUGGGAUUAGCUAGUGGGUGGGGUAACGGCUCACCUAGGCGACGAUCCCUAGCUGGUCUGAGAGGAUGACAAGCCACACUGGGACUGAGACACGGCCCAGACUCCUACGGGAGGCAGCAGUGGGGAAUAUUGCAAAAUGGGCGCAAGCCUGAUGCAGCCAUGCCGCGUGUAUGAAGAAGGCCUUAGGGUUGUAAAGGACUUUCAGCGGGGAGGCGUUACCCGCAGAAGAAGCACCGGCUAACUCCGUGCCAGCAGCCGCGGUAAUAC
Molecule: ribosomal RNA, 406 nt
Filed under: uncultured bacterium
Lineage: Bacteria
Description: partial 16S ribosomal RNA
Rfam family: Bacterial small subunit ribosomal RNA
Source: RNAcentral